GGGUGCGUAGGCGGCCUAUUAAGUCAGGGGUGAAAUACGGUGGCUCAACCAUCGCAGUGCCUUUGAUACUGAUGGGCUUGAAUCCAUUUGAAGUGGGCGGAAUAAGACAAGUAGCGGUGAAAUGCAUAGAUAUGUCUUAGAACUCCGAUUGCGAAGGCAGCUCACUAAGCUGGUAUUGACGCUGAGGCACGAAAGCGUGGGGAUCGAACAGGAUUAGAUACCCUGGUAGUCCACGCCCUAAACGAUGAUAACUCGAUGUUGGCGAUAGACAGCCAGCGUCUUAGCGAAAGCGUUAAGUUAUCCACCUGGGGAGUACGCCCGCAAGGGUGAAACUCAAAGGAAUUGACGGGGGCCCGCACAAGCGGAGGAGCAUGUGGUUUAAUUCGAUGAUACGCGAGGAACCUUACCCGGGCUUGAAAGUUAGUGAAGAGACCAGAGACGGUCUCGUCCUUCGGGACACGAAACUAGGUGCUGCAUGGCUGUCGUCAGCUCGUGCCGUGAGGUGUUGGGUUAAGUCCCGCAACGAGCGCAACCCCUAUGUUUAGUUGCCAGCAUGUAAUGGUGGGGACUCUAAACAGACUGCCUGUGCAAACAGUGAGGAAGGUGGGGACGACGUCAAGUCAUCAUGGCCCUUACGUCCGGGGCUACACACGUGCUACAAUGGAUGGUACAGCGGGCAGCUACAUAGCAAUAUGAUGCUAAUCUCUAAAAGCCAUUCACAGUUCGGAUUGGGGUCUGCAACUCGACCCCAUGAAGUUGGAUUCGCUAGUAAUCGCGUAUCAGCAAUGACGCGGUGAAUACGUUCCCGGGCCUUGUACACACCGCCCGUCAAGCCAUGAAAGUUGGGGGUACCUAAAGCAUGUGACCGC
This 869-nucleotide ribosomal RNA is filed under the name Sphingobacterium sp. URSM1. RNAcentral describes it as "bacterial SSU rRNA". It matches the Rfam family "Bacterial small subunit ribosomal RNA", at positions 565 to 1437 of the family's 1533-position model. The record is from RNAcentral. Lineage: Bacteria; Pseudomonadati; Bacteroidota; Sphingobacteriia; Sphingobacteriales; Sphingobacteriaceae.